Molecule: long non-coding RNA, 256 nt
Filed under: Dromaius novaehollandiae (emu)
Lineage: Eukaryota; Metazoa; Chordata; Aves; Casuariiformes; Dromaiidae
Description: lncRNA (ENSDNVG00000015011.1)
Source: RNAcentral
ACGUCUUGUAGUCACAUAUUUAUUUGUUUGUUUUUACAAUAGGUUACAACUGGGGGAAUUCUAAGGAAUCCAGGUCUCCUUGUAAUGGUGUUAAACUGCAUUGUGAUCUCUGAACAAAGGAAAUCACUGAGGGAGAUGGUUUAGCAAGUUCUUUGCCAAUUUAAACUGCCUCUCCAGCUGGGGAGCUGUGCCGGAAUAACUGCUCUACAAACCCUUUGCUAUGUACAAUAGCCUUUGUCCUCUAAUGCAGUCCUYA